GACGAACGCUGGCGGCGUGCUUAACACAUGCAAGUCGAACGAAGCGGAGAAGGGGUGAGUAAUACGUGGGUAACCUGCUCUCCUUUUUGGGAUAAGCCUUGGAAACGGGGUAUAAUACCGAAUAAUGGGGGAUGGGCUUGCGGCCUUUCAGCUUGUUGGUGUGGUGAUAGCCUACCAAGGCGGUGACGGGUGGCGGGCCUGAGUGGGUGACCGGCCACGAUGGGACUGCGAUACGGCCCAGAGUGGUACGAGAGGCGGCAGUGGGGGAUAUUGCGCAAUGGGCGAAAGCCUAAUGCGGCGACGCCGCGUGGGGGAUGAAGGCUUUCGGGUUGUAAACCUCUUACGCUAUCGAACGGGUAGGUGAAGAAGAAGCGCCGGCUAACUACGUGCCAGCAGCCGCGGUAAUAC
This 408-nucleotide ribosomal RNA is filed under the name uncultured bacterium. RNAcentral's name for it is "partial 16S ribosomal RNA". It matches the Rfam family "Bacterial small subunit ribosomal RNA", at positions 28 to 526 of the family's 1533-position model. The record is from RNAcentral.